UACGGAGGUGGCAAGCGUUGUUCGGAAUUACUGGGCGUAAAGGGCGCGUAGGCGGUUCGUUAAGUCCUGUGUGAAAUCCCCCGGCUCAACUGGGGAACUGCACAGGAAACUAGCGGGCUUGAGUUCGGGAGAGGGAAGCGGAAUUCCGGGUGUAGCGGUGAAAUGCGUAGAUAUCCGGAGGAACACCGGUGGCGAAGGCGGCUUCCUGGACCGACACUGACGCUGAGGCGCGAAAGCUAGGGGAGCAAACGGG
RNAcentral lists this ribosomal RNA (253 nucleotides) under uncultured bacterium. RNAcentral describes it as "partial 16S ribosomal RNA". It matches the Rfam family "Bacterial small subunit ribosomal RNA", at positions 524 to 776 of the family's 1533-position model. The record is from RNAcentral.